GUGGAAACUGAAAGACUAGAGUGCGGUAGGGGCAGAGGGAAUCCCAGUGUAGCGGUGAAAUGCGUAGAGAUUGGGAAGAACACCGGUGGCGAAAGCGCUCUGCUAGGCCGCAACUGACACUCAGGGACGAAAGCUAGGGGAGCGAAUGGGAUUAGAUACCCCAGUAGUCCUAGCCGUAAACGAUGGAUACUAGGCGUUGUCUGUAUCGACCCGGACAGUGCCGUAGCUAACGCGUUAAGUAUCCCGCCUGGGGAGUACGCACGCAAGUGUGAAACUCAAAGGAAUUGACGGGGGCCCGCACAAGCGGUGGAGUAUGUGGUUUAAUUCGAUGCAACGCGAAGAACCUUACCAGGGCUUGACAUGUCGCGAAUCUGGGUGAAAGCUCAGAGUGCCUUCGGGAGCGCGAACACANGGUGGUGCAUGGCUGUCGUCAGCUCGUGUCGUGAGAUGUUGGGUUAACGUCCCGCAACGAGCGCAACCCUCGUCCUUAGUUGCCAUCAGUAAGUUGGGAACUCUAGGGAGACUGCCGGUGACAAGAUCCGGAGGAUAAUGGUGGGGAUGACGUCAAGUCAGCAUGCCCCUUACGUCCUGGGCUACACACGUACUACAAUGCUCCGGAAUCACAAGAGCAGCGAGCCAGCAAUGGUCGGCUAAUCUCAUAAACCCGGGGCUCAGUUCAGAUCGCAGGCUCAACUCGCCGCGUGAAGUCGGAAUCGCUAGUAAUUGCAGGUCAGCAUACUGCAGUGAAUUCGUUCCCGGGCCUUGUACACACCGCCCGUCACACCAUGGAAGCUGGUCACG
RNAcentral lists this ribosomal RNA (801 nucleotides) under uncultured cyanobacterium. RNAcentral describes it as "bacterial SSU rRNA". It matches the Rfam family "Bacterial small subunit ribosomal RNA", at positions 626 to 1419 of the family's 1533-position model. The record is from RNAcentral. Lineage: Bacteria; Bacillati; Cyanobacteriota.